This is a non-coding RNA of Cordylochernes scorpioides, 86 nucleotides long. The record is from the annotation of a GenBank genome assembly. NCBI's taxonomy places the organism in Eukaryota, Metazoa, Arthropoda, Arachnida, Pseudoscorpiones, Chernetidae.
GUAUAGAUAUAGCAUAGUGUGUGUGUGUGGUCAUGGCAUCUGCCCGGUAAGCGGAAGGUCGUGGGUUCGAUUCCCAUCCCUUGACA